AGCCAGGGCAUCUGCUCCAUGUUGUUUGGAUAUUCAUUAAGACCCCCGGCCAACUCACAGAUGGAGAUGAUGAUCUGCUGAGUCCAGAUGGUGCCUGUGAGUAAAGCAGGUUCCAGAUGUCCCUCGCUGCAGCAAUGUCUCCAGUUCCUCCUGCUGUGUUCUGAAACCGUUCCCAGUUCAGCUGAUUUGCCAGCACUUCCACAUUCUGAAGUUUGGGAAGGAAGAAGACGUUUGCGUCUCUUUUAAACUCCAGGAGGAGAGGGCAGAUCUGCUGUGCAGCACCGAUGAUGACCUGAACAUAUUCAAAGCUGAUCUCUUCGGGCAGGUGCAACACCUGAUUCUUCAUGAACACAUGCAGUGAGGUGACCGCCAGCUUCUCCACUGCAUCCAGGAAACAGUCAAGCUUUUUCAAACCUCCCAGAGUGUCCUUCAACACUUCAUCCAGCUCCUUCUCUAGCUCUGCACACCUUUCGUCAUCAUUUAGGGUUACCUUGCUCUUUAAAUAUUCCACAAAAGCCUCACC
Long non-coding RNA from Acanthochromis polyacanthus (spiny chromis), 523 nucleotides. RefSeq lists it as uncharacterized. NCBI's taxonomy places the organism in Eukaryota, Metazoa, Chordata, Actinopteri, Pomacentridae. The record is from RefSeq and is a predicted model, not a curated record. The transcript is spliced from 3 exons.